GGGUUUGGGUUUAGGGGGUAGGGUUGGGAAUAGGCAAAGGGAAGGGUUUGGGGUAAGGGUUUGGGUUUAGGGGGUAGGGUUGGGAAUAGGCAAAGGGACGAGUUUAGGGUAAGGGUUUGGGUUUAGGGGGUGGGUUUGGGAAUAGAAAAAGGGAAGGGUUUAGGGGGUAGGGUUGGGAAUAGGCAAAGGGACGGGUUUAGGGUAAGGGUUUGGGUUUAGGGGGUAGGUUUGGGAAUAGAAAAAGGGAAGGGUUUAGGAUAAGGGUUUGGGUUUGGGGGGGGACACAUGGAUACUGAGAAGGUGUGUAGGACAGAGUCAGGUUAUAGGCUACAGGUUAUAGGCUUC
This is a long non-coding RNA of Oncorhynchus tshawytscha (Chinook salmon), 345 nucleotides long. The record is from Ensembl. NCBI's taxonomy places the organism in Eukaryota, Metazoa, Chordata, Actinopteri, Salmoniformes, Salmonidae.